GUGUUGAAACACCAGCUCCCCUAUGAUCACCUAAGUUAAGCAGCAUUGAGCCUAGUCAAUACCUAGAUGGGUGAUCGCUUGGGAAUACCAGGUGCUGUAA
This is a non-coding RNA of Acanthosepion pharaonis, 100 nucleotides long. NCBI's taxonomy places the organism in Eukaryota, Metazoa, Mollusca, Cephalopoda, Sepiida, Sepiidae. The record is from the annotation of a GenBank genome assembly.